RNAcentral lists this ribosomal RNA (502 nucleotides) under uncultured bacterium. RNAcentral describes it as "bacterial SSU rRNA". It matches the Rfam family "Bacterial small subunit ribosomal RNA", at positions 36 to 518 of the family's 1533-position model. The record is from RNAcentral.
CUGGCGGCGUGCCUAAUACAUGCAAGUCGAGCGGACCGACGGGAGCUUGCUCCCUUAGGUCAGCGGCGGACGGGUGAGUAACACGUGGGUAACCUGCCUGUAAGACUGGGAUAACUCCGGGAAACCGGGGCUAAUACCGGAUGCUUGAUUGAGCCGCAUGGUUCAAUUAUAAAAGGUGGCUUUCAGCUACCACUUACAGAUGGACCCGCGGCGCAUUAGCUAGUUGGCGAGGUAACGGCUCACCAAGGCGACGAUGCGUAGCCGACCUGAGAGGGUGAUCGGCCACACUGGGACUGAGACACGGCCCAGACUCCUACGGGAGGCAGCAGUAGGGAAUCUUCCGCAAUGGACGAAAGUCUGACGGAGCAACGCCGCGUGAAGUGAUGAAGGUUUUCGGAUCGUAAAACUCUGUUGUUAGGGAAGAACAAGUGCCGUUCGAAUAGGGCGGCACCUUGACGGUACCUAACCAGAAAGCCACGGCUAACUACGUGCCAGCCGCUGC